Molecule: long non-coding RNA, 2462 nt
Filed under: Canis lupus familiaris (dog)
Lineage: Eukaryota; Metazoa; Chordata; Mammalia; Carnivora; Canidae
Description: lncRNA (ENSCAFG00845022995.1)
Source: RNAcentral
GUAACAAACCGGACAGUAACAGUGUUAGAUUUAAGAGUAUUUUGUGACAAAUAAGAAAUACCCAAAUCUUUAUUCAUUUCCUGAGCUGCCUUAACAGCAUCGCAAACCAGGUGGCUUAGAACAGUAGGAACUUGCUGCUGCACGUUUCUGGAGGCAGAAGUCAGAAAUGGGGGUGCGGGCCUGGGGCAUUCUGCGGGGGCCCUGGGUUAGGACCCUUCUCUGUCUCUUCCCGGCUUCUGGGGUCCGCAGCAGUGCCCGGCGCUCCCCGGCUUGUAGCUGCAUUCCUCCGGCCCCUGCUGUCAUCCUCGUCCUGGGGCGCGCUCCCUGCAUACCUCAGGUCUAGCUACUGCGACUUAGGAAGGCUGUUCGAGAAAAUGGCUUGGUUAUGACUUCCAUGAGACGACGACAAAGCCAAACUUUACGGCCUGCCCAAUCCUUGAGAACGAGUAACUGGAAGAUUUCGUCAUCGAAGUAAACUGGGGAGUUUUAACUUGUGAGACAGAGGUUGUGGCUCUAAAUGAAAUCUAGGAUUCACUAAAACAACUAUGGAGUAUCCGGAUAUUAUUACUUAUUAUUGAAAGAAGUCCGUGAAUAUAAGUAAGUAAAGGUGAUCGCACCUUCCUGUAAUCUUGCCAUGAUUUCCUUCAGAAGAGCUGUCCUUCUCAGAAGAUUAAUUACUUAAUUAUUGCAAGUGAGAAUUCGUGAAUGUCCGUUGUCUUACAGUGACGGUUAUGAAUUUUUUUAAAGAUUUGAUUUGUCAGCGCAGCACGCACCAAGCAGGAAGAGCUGCAGGUCGAGAGAGCAGACUGUCCGCGGAGCAAGGAGCCCGGUGCAGGGUGGGACCCCGGGACCCCAGGAUCGUGACCUGAGCCGAAGGCAGCUGCUAACCCACUGAGCCCCCCAGGCGCCCCUGCUUAUGAAUUUUCUUUGGCCCUAGUUGAACUGAGGAAUUUUAAUUAAAUCAAUUUGGAGAAAGGGAGUAUGAUUUCUCUACACUGAGCUGCGAAUGUGAAGGUGCACGCCCCCAGGGGUGCUCCGUGUACCCAGCACCCAUUUCUCCAAAGUUCUCAAGGGUGUCAGUGUUGUGGUCUGUUGGGUGGCUACAGAGCAGUGCAACAAGGAGUCUCCGUGGCACUGGAGACGGGGGUCUGUGUCCCCGUACGGAUGGGGCUCCCGACUGUACCGAGGAAAGCGUGUGGGACGAGGACGUGAGAACGUGGCCCCUGCACCUACCUUAGCCUCCGGAUGACACCGUCCACUAACUUUGACCUAAGUCCCGGUCUCUCAGACCCUGCGAUACUAGCAUUGGAGGCCGGCGGUUGUCGUUGGGGGGCUGUCCUUUGCGUUGUAGGAUGUUGGGCAGCGUCUUCGGGCUCUGCCCUCUAAGGACCUCUGCAGUCCCCGUCGCGACAGCCAGUCUCCAGGCAUUGGCACGUGUCCCCUGGGGGGCCAAGUCUGCCCGAGUGCGAACCACCGGCCCAGAGGAAUGUCCAUAGACAACUUCUCGGCUCCAGUGACAGCCUCAGUCGUGCCUCUGUGUUGUGUAAACAGUCGCAGACUUGGCUCGGAUGCGUCAGAUAAAAAGAGGAGACAAAAAUAUGCUUUUUCUCCAUUCUCCACUUUCGGAGAACUCGGAGCCCGCGCUCCCGGGAGCCCCUGGUGUCUAGGGCCCACCCGCUGCCGAGGACUUGGGAAAGAGACGGGAAUAUGGAGGAUCUACCAACCUUCUCGAACGUAUGCUGUGGCUAAGAAAAGGUGUGCGAAAUAAGCAAACGUGCUAAUUGCCCCCGAUUUUCACCACACUGCCCUGUAGCAGUGUUUCUCAGCCCUCGUAGUUGAGACACUGAAGCUCCCUGGGAAAGCUGCGGUUGGAGCAGACGGCCCAGCGGGCUGGAGGGCGCGCCUUUGAAGCAUCUGAGACUGGCCCGCCGCGACGCUCACGGGUUUAUUAAAAAUGAUCAAAAGCAGCAGAACGGCGGGGAGUCCCGCCUGAAAGGCUGUCCCCCCGCAGGGCCUCCUGCGCCACGGCGGCCCCACGCCAACAAGAGCGCCGUCCCUCCCUGUGAGGCUCCUCUCCCCACCGUGGCCUCCGGCGAGUCCCGCGUGGGCCGCGGACAGAUGAGCAGCUGCACGGCCAUCCAGGCCCCGUGGCAACACCGCAAAGGGCGUGCUUCGUGUGACUUGUACACACCGGAGCAGGCUUCCAAGGCUGGCCGUGUCUCCAGAGCGGCUCCCGCAGGAGCGGGAGUCAGAGCUUGGGAAGCUGAGGAAUGCUCUCGCGGGGAGCCUGUCCACCUUGCGGGACAGCGUCAGCGGCGCCCAGCUCCCUUCUCACUGUGGGGCAAGGCGCGGGGGCUCCGCCCGCAGCCCAGGGCCUGAUCCCGAACACCCGGAGAGAGUCCCGCAUCGGGCUCCCCGUGGAGAGCCUGCUUCUCUCUGUGUCUCUCAUGAAUAAAUAAAAA